AUUGAACGCUGGCGGCAGGCUUAACACAUGCAAGUCGAGCGGAGUGAUGGUGCUUGCACUAUCACUUAGCGGCGGACGGGUGAGUAAUGCUUAGGAAUCUGCCUAUUAGUGGGGGACAACAUCUCGAAAGGGAUGCUAAUACCGCAUACGUCCUACGGGAGAAAGCAGGGGAUCUUCGGACCUUGCGCUAAUAGAUGAGCCUAAGUCGGAUUAGCGAGUUGGUGGGGUAAAGGCCUACCAAGGCGACGAUCUGUGGCGGGUCUGAGAGGAUGAUCCGCCACACUGGGACUGAGACACGGCCCAGACUCCUACGGGAGGCAGCAGUGGGGAAUAUUGGACAAUGGGGGGAACCCUGAUCCAGCCAUGCCGCGUGUGUGAAGAAGGCCUUAUGAUUGUAAAGCACUUUAAGCGAGGAGGAGGCUACUUUAGUUAAUACCUAGAGAUAGUGGACGUUACUCGCAGAAUAAGCACCGGCUAACUCUGUGCCAGCCGCCGCCGUAA
This 501-nucleotide ribosomal RNA is filed under the name uncultured bacterium. Its description in RNAcentral is "partial 16S ribosomal RNA". It matches the Rfam family "Bacterial small subunit ribosomal RNA", at positions 30 to 523 of the family's 1533-position model. The record is from RNAcentral.